GACGAACGCUGGCGGCGUGCUUAACACAUGCAAGUCGAACGGAAACGCCCUGCUUUUGUGGGGUUCUCGAGUGGCGAACGGGUGCGUAACACGUGAGUAACCUGCCCUUGACUUUGGGAUAACUUCAGGAAACUGGGGCUACUACCGGAUAGGAGCUCCUGCUGCAUGGUGGGCGUUGGAAAGUUUCGGCGGUAGGGGAUGGACUCGCGGCUUAUCAGCUUGUUGGUGGGGUAGUGGCUUACCAAGGCUUUGACGGGUAGCCGGCCUGAGAGGGUGACCGGCCACAUUGGGACUGAGAUACGGACCAGACUCCUACGGGAGGCAGAAGUGGGGAAUAUUGCACAAUGAGCGGAAGCCUGAUGCAGCAACGCCGCGUGCGGGAUGACGGCCUUCGGGUUGUGAACCGCUUUCGCCUGUGACGAAGCGUGAGUGACGGUAAUGGGUGAAGAAGCACCGGCUAACUACGUG
Molecule: ribosomal RNA, 468 nt
Filed under: uncultured bacterium
Lineage: Bacteria
Description: partial 16S ribosomal RNA
Rfam family: Bacterial small subunit ribosomal RNA
Source: RNAcentral